AGAAUCAACGCUGGCGGCGUGCCUAACACAUGCAAGUCGCACGAGAAAGGGUAGCAAUACCUGAGUAAAGUGGCGCACGGGUGAGUAACACGUGAAUUAUCUACCUCCGAGUGGGGAAUAACUGAGAGAAAUCUUAGCUAAUACCGCACAACACUUACGAGUCAAAGCAGCAAUGCGCUUGGAGAGGAGUUCGCGGCCGAUUAGUUAGUUGGCGGGGUAAUGGCCCACCAAGACGAUGAUCGGUA
This 245-nucleotide ribosomal RNA is filed under the name uncultured bacterium. RNAcentral describes it as "partial small subunit ribosomal RNA". It matches the Rfam family "Bacterial small subunit ribosomal RNA", at positions 26 to 285 of the family's 1533-position model. The record is from RNAcentral.